This 744-nucleotide ribosomal RNA is filed under the name Lederbergia galactosidilytica. RNAcentral describes it as "bacterial SSU rRNA". It matches the Rfam family "Bacterial small subunit ribosomal RNA", at positions 56 to 783 of the family's 1533-position model. The record is from RNAcentral. Lineage: Bacteria; Bacillati; Bacillota; Bacilli; Caryophanales; Bacillaceae.
UGCAGUCGAGCGAAUUUGAUGGGAGCUUGCUCCCUGAAAAUUAGCGGCGGACGGGUGAGUAACACGUGGGCAACCUACCUGUAAGCCUGGGAUAACUUCGGGAAACCGGAGCUAAUACCGGAUAAUUUCUUUCUUCACAUGGAGAGAGGUUGAAAGACGGCUUUGCUGUCACUUACAGAUGGGCCCGCGGCGCAUUAGCUAGUUGGUGAGGUAACGGCUCACCAAGGCCACGAUGCGUAGCCGACCUGAGAGGGUGAUCGGCCACACUGGGACUGAGACACGGCCCAGACUCCUACGGGAGGCAGCAGUAGGGAAUCUUCCGCAAUGGACGAAAGUCUGACGGAGCAACGCCGCGUGAGUGAAGAAGGUCUUCGGAUCGUAAAACUCUGUUAUCAGGGAAGAACAAGUACCGGAGUUACUGCCGGUACCUUGACGGUACCUGACCAGAAAGCCACGGCUAACUACGUGCCAGCAGCCGCGGUAAUACGUAGGUGGCAAGCGUUGUCCGGAAUUAUUGGGCGUAAAGCGCGCGCAGGCGGUUCUUUAAGUCUGAUGUGAAAUCUUGCGGCUCAACCGUGAGCGGUCAUUGGAAACUGGAGAACUUGAGUGCAGAAGAGAAGAGCGGAAUUCCACGUGUAGCGGUGAAAUGCGUAGAGAUGUGGAGGAACACCAGUGGCGAANGCGGCUCUUUGGUCUGUAACUGACGCUGANGCGCGAAAGCGUGGGGAGCGAACAGGAUUAGAU